GGAAAAAAAAAGAGCAAUUAUGAAACUUAGUGACCCAAGAAGUGUUUUCGAAUGCCAGGAGUGGAGAUAAACUUUUAGAAGAUUAUGAUAAUAUUGAUUGGUUGCUUCGAGAUCACAAGACACUGAUUCCAGAAGGCUCUGACAUCAUGACCAAGAGAAAAAGGACAAUAUGAAGCUAAACAGAGGCCUAUUGGACCCCUCAACCUUAGUCUAUUACUUUUAGAUCAUACAC
This 232-nucleotide long non-coding RNA is filed under the name Fukomys damarensis (Damara mole-rat). RNAcentral's name for it is "lncRNA (ENSFDAG00000025806.1)". Lineage: Eukaryota; Metazoa; Chordata; Mammalia; Rodentia; Bathyergidae. The record is from RNAcentral.